GAUAAAGCAAAAGUCCCUACUUCAUGAGGCUGCUGCAAAGCCAGACCAGCUCUCUCUAAUGCCCAGCCCACAAGGAGCCAUUAACAAGGCACACACGAACCUUGGGUAUAGCUGGAGAAAGGACCUUGAUCCUCAGCUGAAGAAAUUGCACUGAACCAGUGAGAUGGGGGCUGUGUCCCCAGACAUUGCCCCCACUCUUGACAAAUAGAGCACCCAAAGAAUGGGUGCCUUCCAUGUGGAUAUUAAGUCCCCUGAAAAGCUUCUUGGAGGACAUCAGAUUUAAAUGAAUAGAAGAGGGCCCCUGAAUGGCUGAGUGAAGAGGAGGGGGCCGCAGGGCAGUUCAAGCCACUUCCAAGAUGGAGAAGGCAUGGGAACCCACGAUGGCAGUGGAGUAAAAGACAACCCCUCCCUUCAAGACAGGUUCCUCCAGUUUGCAAAGCGAGGCCAUAGAACUGGGAAAUGCAAAAUGAAAUCUGCAAUGAAACACUAACACCCACCCACCAGGAUAGCUAAAAUUAAAGACUGAUACCAAGUGCUGGCAAGAAAGUGGAGCAAUGGGGCUUCUUGUGCCUUGUGGCCCCGGUGACUACCUAGAGAAUGGAGAAUUCUCCUGAUAGAAUCAGCUGGUGGAAUAUGACUCAGCAACAAAAGAGGCCAACUACCAAACACGAGCCACAACAUGAAUGAAUGUCCUAUGUGACUUAAAGAGGCACAGAGUCAACUCUACCCUGAGUCAAUUUCUGUGAAGACCCGAAACAAAUGAAACUAAUGUGGGGCGACAAGAUUAGAGCAACCUGGAAGGAGGAACGUUCUGGAGAGUUCGUAAUGUCUCUUGAUAGGAGUUUCAGUGACAUGGGUACAGGUGUCUGUUGCCUAAUGUGGAAAUAAGCCACGGUCCCAAAGAGCUGCACAACCAGCCUGGCCUGCCCACCUUCAGGCCAUUAGAAACAAGCUCAAUCUUAUUUCUGUGCUGCAGAUGACUUGAAGGCAAUACCUGGGAUCUGUUUGCCUCAAAGUGCUUGGCGGAACACAGAUUCUACAUAAAUUCUCGCAGGAGUGAGGGCACUCGAUGACAGCCAGAGGCACAGACACAGAAAACAGAAGACGCAGCCUGAGCGCCAGCCUGGAUAAGAAGGAGCUUUGUCUCUUCCAGAUGAUGUUUGGACCUUCUAGACCUUGGACAGGGUGCCCAGCCCUGUGAAAACAAGGUGAGUGAUCUCAUGAGACAUCCUCAAAGGCGUGAUGACUGACAGAACCUUGAGGAGAGGUUGGUUUCUGAACUGUACCAAAGCAAUUUAUUAUAUUGAUGAUUGAUGCCUGGCUCUGAGGCAGGUGUCCAAGAGAGACAGGCAGGAAAGGAAGAAGUCCUGGGAGAUGUGGGGGUAUCUUAGCACCCCAAAGCAAGACACCCUAUAGCUGGGGAUUCUCCUCAGAGACACAUGCUGUAAAAAGAGCCAGGGCUGCCUCAGGUCAGGCCCUGGGGCCAAACAGUGUUCCAGAGGAACAGUGGGAGGCCAGGGCUCCAAUUCCUCCACCCUGCAGGGAGAAACUGAGGCUCAGUGAGGUUAUGGCUUAGGUAGAACAACACCCCUGUGACAUCUGGGGAUGGGUUAGCUACAUGGCCUUACGGGUAACACAGCUUCUAGGAGACCAGAGAACAUUGGGAACAUCUCCCAAUGGCUGACUUCUCUACUAGGCCCACGAGGCAUAGUGUCCAGGACCCACCAAAAUCAGGGGGAAGGGAGGGAGAGAAUCACCUUCAUACCAACAUGCUCAUACAGUAUUUUUUUAACUUUUGAAAUUAUCAUUAUUUACUCCUCUCUCUGUGUCUGUCACCACCACCACCACCCCGUGUAUGUGUGUGUGUGUGUGUGUGUGUGUGUGUGUGUGUGUGUGUGUGUGUGUGAAUGCCAUGGCUUGUGUAUAGAGACCAGGAGGAUAACUUUUGGGAGUUAGUUCUCUUCUACCAUCUGGGUUCUGUAGAUUGAACUCAGGUCAUCAGAUUUGGCAGUAAGUUCUCUUAUGCACCAUGCCACCUCACAACAAUUAAUACACUGUUAAUUGGUGUAGCUGUGUGUGCUCGUUCAUGGGCAGGUCUGCAUGCAUCUGCGUGUGCACACUGAUGGAGACUUAUCGGGUGUUGUUCUUCCAUCUUCUUUUGUGACACAGGGUCUCUCACUCGGACCUGAGCUUGCCUUAGGCUAGGCUGGCAGGCCAGCGAGCUGCGGGCUGCUGGGACCCAGUCCUCUAGAUACUCAUCUCCCCAGCUGGGAUGGCAAGUGUGUGCUGCCACCACACUUGGCUUGUUUGUUUUGUUUUGUUCAGACAGGGUCCUAUGUAUUCCUGGCUGACCUGGAAACCGCUAUGCAGAUCAGACUGGCCUUGGAGAGUCCUGCCUCUGCCUCUGCCUCUGCCUCCCCAGUGCUGGGACUAAAGACAUAGCAGACAUUCUCCUGAAGAAGUCAAAGCUCUCAACCAGGCCCAGGCCACUCCAGUGAGCCUGCAGCGCCCCACCCCACACUCUGUCCCAUGUUCCUCCCCAAAUCCCCUCACCAUGCCAGCCAUCUUGCAACUCUGAGCUGAGCAAGGUUGGGUUCCAAUUCCUGGCAGAGCCCAGUUUCCUGUUUUUCUCCAAGUGGACAAGGUCAGGCUGCUGCUGGGAAGGGAUGCGGGACCCCAGAGGGCAACAAAUCUCAACCACAUGGAGGAAGGAGGGGCUCUGAGCCACACCGGGCCCCUCCCUGGGUCCCUCUUUCUCUGUGUAGAGGCCCCACCACUCUGACAGCCUUGCAGAACCCUGCAAGGCCUCUGGGUACCCUCUCACCUGGGUUUCAGUUUGCUCAUCUAUAAAAUGCAGCAGGAGGGUCUAAAGAAUCUUCCUGCGUGCAAGAGAAUCCAAGUUAGACAAGUCGGGGACAUGUCCUCCAAAAGGACCCCAGUGGCUACCUGUGCCGUAGGGCCUGUUACAGGAGCUGAAGUAGUGAUGACAGCACUUGCUGACUGCAUCCCAGCCCUGUGUGGGACUUUCCGUGCCAUCUCAUCUUCACAGAGACCUCUGAGAAACAUAAGAGCACUUUUGUAGCCUGGUAUUGCAAAGGGGAGAGCGAGGCUGCAAGCCCAGCAGCCCUGGGAGCCCUGUGCCCACAGUCCUGCCACCUUCCUCCUCAUGCUGCUGGUGUGGACUAUAUCUGGGAAAUCCAGGAAUGGCGGUGAACUGUGAGGCCUUAAUGGAAGUGGCUGAGGAGUCACUGUGUAAGAACAAUAAAAUGCUUUGCUGGCUGGUACCCACAGAAACCAGGGACUUAAUACAAAGAGCCAGUCCAUAAGCAUCAGGCCAUACCCCAUUACCACUGUGUAGGGGACAGUAAGCCACACCUGUUAGAGGCGUGGUCAAAGUGAGGUCAGGAUGACCUCUCUGGGCUCUUAAGGGGCCACAGAGCGCAUGGAAGCCCCUUCUCCUGCCCCUUCUCUCUGGCCUCACUGCUCGGCUGCCCCUGGCACGCUCUGGCUUGUGUUUGGCUGGUGUUUAUCUCAAUAAAGAUAUCUUGACCUUACAGAUUAUGGAUUGUCUCUUGGGUCACUCAAUACCAUUCAAUCAACACCGCUGGGUUUGUGCCUCUUCCAGGAUAUAGAGCCAGAC
RNAcentral lists this long non-coding RNA (3640 nucleotides) under Cricetulus griseus (Chinese hamster). Its description in RNAcentral is "lncRNA (ENSCGRG00015032240.1)". The record is from RNAcentral. Lineage: Eukaryota; Metazoa; Chordata; Mammalia; Rodentia; Cricetidae.